Molecule: unclassified non-coding RNA, 316 nt
Filed under: uncultured fungus
Lineage: Eukaryota; Fungi
Description: partial contains small subunit ribosomal RNA, internal transcribed spacer 1, and 5.8S ribosomal RNA
Rfam family: Eukaryotic small subunit ribosomal RNA (bases 1-73)
Source: RNAcentral
GCAAACUUGGUCAUUUAGAGGAAGUAAAAGUCGUAACAAGGUUUCCGUAGGUGAACCUGCGGAAGGAUCAUUAAUGAGUAAGGGUCUCGAUUUAUACAGAGCCCGACCUCCAACCCUUUGUCUACCUUACCAAUGUUGCUUCGGCGAGCCCGCUUCGAAAGAGGCCGCCGGAGGGUCGUUAAACACUCUCUGGUCAGUGCUCGCCGGUGGCCCCAAUUAAAACUCUUGUUAAGAACUUGUCUAAGUAUAAACAAACAAAUAAGUAAAAACUUUCAACAACGGAUCUCUUGGUUCUGGCAUCGAUGAAGAACGCAGC